This 444-nucleotide long non-coding RNA is filed under the name Phoenix dactylifera (date palm). RNAcentral's name for it is "long non-coding RNA (PDAC_LNC008110)". Lineage: Eukaryota; Viridiplantae; Streptophyta; Magnoliopsida; Arecales; Arecaceae. The record is from RNAcentral.
UUAUGGACAAAGUCUAAUCAUGUGGAUUCGUCUUUAAAGUCUUCUACAUAGUCUUCUAUAUUUGGUUCAUAGACUUCUUCAACAUAUUCGCCCUCUUGGUUCCUAACUUUUGGUUCAAUAAUUAGGUAGGUCUUAGUGAAACAUUAGAAUGCUAUGUGGCCAAAUUGUUGACACCUAGAGCAUUGGGUCUGGUGCCUAAGGAAAUGGGGAAGGACUACAGGUGGUGCGGCCAAACCGGAUUUAGGUUGGGCUACAACGGGGGUUGGUGGUUUAGGGGUCCUGAUGCUUCGCAUAAGCUUAGGGACCUCUUGUUUGACUUCUUCAUCUAAAGCUCGCAGGGCAGCGAACUGUUCCAUAAGAGCCCUCAAAACGUUGAAAUCCAUGGCAGCUACGGAGGUUCUAGGUUGAUUGAAAUGGUACUCCUUACCACUACGGGUUGGCAUG